CGCUUCUAUAGUCGGCGUAAGAAGAAUUGAGCGUAACUUUUGCACACGGUGUCCGUUUUGGGCCCAUAAGUACUUUUUGGAAAUGUAGCGACCCUUUUGGAUUGAACUCACCACUUCGUCGUGACGUAUGAGGGAUUUCGGCCAUUUUUCGAAAGAACGAGCACUUGAAUAUUUGGAACGCUUCUAUAGUCGGCGUAAGAAGAAUUGAG
This 209-nucleotide long non-coding RNA is filed under the name Olea europaea (common olive). RNAcentral's name for it is "long non-coding RNA (OEUR_LNC013724)". The record is from RNAcentral. Lineage: Eukaryota; Viridiplantae; Streptophyta; Magnoliopsida; Lamiales; Oleaceae.